UACAGAGGUCUCAACCGUUGUUCGGAUUCAUUGGGCGUAAAGGGUACGUAGGCGGUCGGGUAAGUCGGAUGUGAAAUCUCAGGGCUCAACCCUGAAACUGCAUUCGAUACUGCUUGGCUAGUGUACUGGAGAGGAGACUGGAAUUUACGGUGUAGCAGUGAAAUGCGUAGAUAUCGUAAGGAAGACCAGUGGCGAAGGCGAGUCUCUGGACAGUUACCGACGCUGAGGCACGAAGGCCAGGGGAGCAAACGGG
Molecule: ribosomal RNA, 253 nt
Filed under: uncultured bacterium
Lineage: Bacteria
Description: partial 16S ribosomal RNA
Rfam family: Bacterial small subunit ribosomal RNA
Source: RNAcentral